UUGGAUUCUUAUAGUUAAGAAGGGUCGCCUCUGAAAUUACAAAUUUGCCUCUAAAUAAAAUCUUCAGAGAUCCGUGCAUGGCCGCGGACGGACCGGACACAUUGACUCUCUUUUUGCCUAACGAGCCCGACCUGUGCGCUGCCGCGGAUGGCCCCCGCACCUGGAGUUUAGUUCUGUCAUUCAUUUGUUCCUUCUUCUGCUCACCUCAGAUUAGCCUUCCUUGCUCCAUAUAUACUUCAAAACACUCUUUAAUGUCCUCAUAGCCCGGAAUUGCUCCGACAAAGCACAAAGUUCUUAAUUAGAGCCAUUUGUUAUCAUUUAACACUCGUAUAUUAAUAAAGUAUAGCCAAGUUGGAGCGUAAAUGGUAGCUAAAUCACAUAAUAAUAACCUACUAUCAGAUAUUAUCC
Molecule: long non-coding RNA, 408 nt
Filed under: Nicotiana benthamiana
Lineage: Eukaryota; Viridiplantae; Streptophyta; Magnoliopsida; Solanales; Solanaceae
Description: long non-coding RNA (NBEN_LNC022697)
Source: RNAcentral